This 254-nucleotide ribosomal RNA is filed under the name uncultured bacterium. Its description in RNAcentral is "partial 16S ribosomal RNA". It matches the Rfam family "Bacterial small subunit ribosomal RNA", at positions 524 to 777 of the family's 1533-position model. The record is from RNAcentral.
UACGAAGGGGGCUAGCGUUGCUUGGAAUCACUGGGCGUAAAGGGUGCGUAGGCGGGUCUUUAAGUCAGGGGUGAAAUCCUGGAGCUCAACUCCAGAACUGCCUUUGAUACUGAAGAUCUUGAGUUCGGGAGAGGUGAGUGGAACUGCGAGUGUAGAGGUGAAAUUCGUAGAUAUUCGCAAGAACACCAGUGGCGAAGGCGGCUCACUGGCCCGAUACUGACGCUGAGGCACGAAAGCGUGGGGAGCAAACAGGG